Molecule: long non-coding RNA, 5884 nt
Organism: Tympanuchus pallidicinctus (lesser prairie-chicken)
Lineage: Eukaryota; Metazoa; Chordata; Aves; Galliformes; Phasianidae
Exons: 3
Source: RefSeq, a predicted model, not a curated record
UCCAGCACUUCAAACAGUGCCACCAACAAAAACCUUUCAGAACCCGGAUAUGUUUGUAAACUCGCUAAUCCUAAAGCAGAUAGAUCUAAAGAACCAGCAAACUGAACCAUGCAAAAAAUACAGUGUGUACACUUGCAAAAAGCAAGAUGACCUUUUGUUCUUCAGCUUGAAAAAGAAUUUUUGUGUCUGAGGGAAGUACUACUAAUAAAUCAACAGUUUUAGCCUCAAGAUAUAUCACUUUAAAAAAAAAAAAAGAAAAGAAACCAGAUUAUUGAAGUAACACAGUUCCCUGGGAGCAGCAGGAAUGGUCUUUGUUAUUAAAAAGGCAUUUCCAUAAAAAGUUUCCACAUUUAGGGGCAUUUAAUUAACUCAGGAGUAAAAACCAUAAAAAUUAAUAUAUCCCAUACAUAAAAGUUGACAGAAAAUUUGUCCUUUACUCCAUGGUUUUACUGAUUAUGGGUUGGUAGCAGAUUAGAAUUAGAUUGGUUCAGUUGGAAGGGUCCUUUGGAGAUCAUCAAGUCCAACUGCCUGAUGGAAAGAGUUACUGUGUAAGAUAUUAUUAAUGCAGUCACAGCUUAAAAGAAACCAUCCCUAAGGGAAGAUGCCAAAAUGAAUUCUUUGUGUAUUAACAAAGGAAGCCAGAAGACCCCCUUACAAUGAGUCAGUCUGCAAUAAAGAUGAGUGUGACAUUUCAUAAGCUUUUAGGUAGGUAUGCUGUAAGUAUUACAGAUUCUAACAGUUGUAAAGGCUCCAAAGCCUUUCAUCAUCACUAAAUGAAUCCAUUAAAUUUGGUGUGACACAAAGUUGCAAAUAGAAAUGGAGAAAGCAUCUACCUGUAAAUUAUUUCAAAAUCCAUCCACUGCUCAGCCAGUGAGAUACUUUUCCAUCUUAAUUAAUAGUCAAUACAUUGUGAGAAGCCUAAAGGAAAUCUUUUUCCUAAUCAAAGCAUAAAGUUAAUCUAUGUGUCACACUACUAUGUGGUAAACUGGUAAUCUUUUCAGAAGAAAACACAGAAAGAGUCUGAAAAACAACAGUUUAGCAGUUCUCUUCCUCCCUCAAAUGUUUGUUUUGUUUUUUUUGUUUUUUUUUAAAGUCAGUCCCACUUCUAAAGGCAGAGGAGGGCAGCACAUCUCUCAGAAAUAGCCGUCAGAUUUAUACAAAUGCUGCCAGGCUCUCCUUUUAUUCAUUGCAGCGCUUUCCAAGCCUAAUCAAUUCACAAAGCCUGUAAUGAAGUGAUUACAGAAAUAAUAGACAGUAGUGGAAAAGAGGCCUGUGAGAGCCAUGGAGAGAAUGACUGUCUGUCCUCCUCACCACAGAGAAACUCAGCCUCUGCUCUGCCUGAGCUCAUGGGGAUUCAAGAACCAUUCUGGGAAGUGAUGGAGACACAAGCUUACAUUAGCGUGUGUAUAUUAUAUUCUGUCAGGUUUUGAAAUUGCAGCAUUGUGAUUUAUAUGCAAGGUUGUUUAGGUCAUAAUUAAGAUUUCUGAAGUGUACUUGUAGUCAUUUAUUUUCCUCCUGCUGCUCAGAUCUGUUGAGCCGGACUCAAAGCGUUAAGAUCAUGAUUUUUAUCAUCAAACAACAGGAAAAGUCAUAUCAAUAGAAUGGUUUGAUCCUCAUUUAUUCCUUAGAAAUACAAGGAAUUCUGCAGUGAUAGGACAGGCUCCUAGUGAGAGAAGUUAAAUAUGAUACAUAUUUGUUAAGUAUUUCCUUGAAAUAAAAUAUGAUUUCUUUUCCCUCUUAAUUUAUAAAAAUUUAACAUGGCUAAGUUCCUAACUUGUUUUGUCUGCUGAACCAUUGAAAGAGAUUAGAGCAUAAAUAUAUAUGACAUCCACAUUAUUACCAAAUACAUUCAUUAGCAGCAAUGCUAUCACAGUGAAUACCAGAUGGAAUUAACAGUGACAGAGCAAUAAAUUAAAGUGUUCAUACAUUUCUUUCUUGCAGCUUACAAACUCAGGAUUUAUUCCUGACCUUUGGUAUGAAACUUGACAAUUGCUGGUAAAUCAUACAUAAUGCUGUUAGUAGUCAGUGCUACAACUCAGACCUUUUUACCCUGCAGAUGUAACAGAUAAUUUUCUAAGAAUUUAUUUGUGGAUUAACAUUAAUUAUCAUGCACACUUCACAAAGAAUUAAUGUCGGUACAAAAUAAGCUUAUCUCCAUUCAGGACACCUUCCAGUUUAUUCUCGCCAUCUCUGUGAUGAUGUGUUUUAUUACAUAAAACAGGAUCAUAGCAUGGCUGAGGUUGGAGGCACCACAGGAUCCCACUGCCCCAGAACUGCCCCAGAAGAGCAAGGCCCAGCCCCACAGGCAGGCGGCUUUGGGAGAGCUCCAAGGAGGAGACCCCACAGCCUCUGGGCAGCCUGUGCCAGGGCUCCAGCACCGCACAGCACAGCAGUGCUGCCUGAUGGGCAGAGGGAGCUGCUGUGCUCCGGGUUGUGCCCAGUGCCUCUGCUCCUGGCACUGGGCAGAGCUGCAAGGAGCCUGGCUGUGUCCUCUCUGCACCUCCCUUUGGAUAUUUAUGGACAUGGAAGAGAUCCCUCUGAGCCUUCUCCAGGCUCAGGGGAUCUCUGAGAGAUGCUCUGCUUCUCUCAGCCUCUCCAUAAGGCAGAGGUGCUCCAAUCCCUUCAUUGCUUUAAUAGCCCUCCAUUUGGACUCUCUUGAGUGUGUCAAGGACUCCUGUACAGGAGGACCCACCAGUGGACACAUGGUGUCUCCCCACCAGUGCUGAGCAGAGGGGAAGUACCACCUCUCUCUAUCUGCUGGCUAUACUUUGCCUAUUGCAGCCCAGAAUACUGUUAGGCUUCUUUGGAGCAACGUGGUGGCCAUCAGGGCUCUGAAGUACUUUCCAUUCAAGUGCCCCUCCCAGCUUGUGCUGAUGCUUUGGGUAGUUCCUUCCUGGGUACAGGACUUUGCAACUCUCUUUGCUGUACUUCAGGAGGUUCUUUUCAAAGCCCAUUUCUCCACCCUGACAGCAUCCUUUGGAUGGCAGCGUAACCCUCAGGUCUGUCAGUCUCCCAGUUGCGUGUCUCUGAGUUGUCUGCUCAGAAACUCACCACGUUCUCCUUUUAUAGGCAGUUGUAGCAAGGGUCUCCUUUGGGUUCACAAGCAGGCUUUUUUGAGCUGGCGGCACCUGAAGGGCAGGUUUAGAGGUUAGGUAGGAACUUGAUUCCAGCUUUUAUACGUUUUGUGCGUUUUCUCUGGUAAAGAAGUUGGCACACCAGUCAGGUUGCAGACUUGGUCCAUUUCAUUUUGUUAGCUGAACUUACCGUUUCUCUCUGACUCAGUAAGGAAUUAUUUUUCUAAAAGACAGCAAUUCCACCCUUUUCUGAUAGAAAAUCCUCAAGUGCAGGUGUUAACCUCUAUUUAACAGUUUUGAUACUCUGAAAAUAGGCUUCCUUCACUUCAUUACCUGUCAUAUACCUUGGAAGUCCAUACAGACCUUAGGGAUGAAAAGCAGUGUGUGAGCUGAUUAAGGUUUCCAGGUUUUGGACACAAAAAUAUUGGCUAAUUAUAACUAUGAGACCAUUAGUGAAAUACAUAGAUGUGGGAGUCAUUUCAUGUCAGAUAUACGCUAAAGAGAAGGGAGGAUUGGAUUUUUUUUUUUGCAUACUUGGCAAAUCUAACAGUUCCACAGGAAAAACAAGGAUGCAAAACUGUAAUGAUGCUGUGACAUUUAUUCCUCUAUAAGAGUGAAGUGUCUGCAGAAAAAUACCCAGCUAGGAAUAACAAUCCUGACCCUGAAUUACGUACACAUGCCUUGCACUCUCCCUUGUGUGUAAGCGUAACAUUGCCACCAUCUAUGUGCAAAAUACUGUGCAUAGAAGCACCAUGAGGCAUCAGCAACACCCUCAGCAGUAGCUGUAGGCUGCUUGUAUGGAAGAGGGAGGAUCCAGCUCACUCAUCUCAGCCAUUAAGCAGAUAGACCUCAAAAAAGGGGGCUGUUGAUGGAUAAUUUUUUUUUGCCCAUAUUCUUGUCUUUGAAUUUAUUGUAGUAAGACUAAUCAUAAAUCUUUCUCUUUGAUCCCAAAGGGCUGCAAAAAGUCUAGCCUACAUCCAUCCUGGUCGUGGAAGGAGACAACUGAUGGUUGCCUUUUGCAGGUCCCAGAUGAAGAGGGUCACAGCAUUUCACGUAAUUGCUUCACAGAUUUGCAACCACUUGAACAGAAGAGGCAGAUGUAGCCACUGAGAUAAAUCUCACUGAAAUGCCACUGCAGUCCUCUGCCUGCACAGGAGCCUAUUUAGCACUGUAUAUGGAGUUUGUGAAAAGCUUUGUAUGGGAACCCCUCAGGUUUUGCUUGAUGAUGAAAGAGGAUGAGGAAGAAGGAAGGAUUCUAAGGCAGAUGUUUGAGCUGCAGAAUCAUAUCUUUGCUGGCAAUGGACCUCACUCUCCUCACCAAGGUCAGUGGUAUCAGUUGCCUGUUUGUGUGCUACAAUGUGCAGUCUGUUCCAAGAGGUAAACUAAUUAGUCUUGGGCCAGAUACAACUUCUGCAGCAUUUCUAUGGUCUUGAUCAGGAGCUCAAUACCAAAAGCAGGAAUUGGAUAGAGAGAGCCAUGGUUUCUAUAGUCAGUGUUAGGACUGGGACUGCACAACGCAGCACCCCUUAGAGCUUGGGAUAUCCAUAAUGUGAAAAUAGUUAUCUGUGAUCCGAGUCUCACUUCUGAGAGGAGCUGCUGUCAUAGCAAUCUAGUGCCUGCUUGAGAUGCAGCUGAAUCUCAACCUGUGCUCCAUUUGCUAGGCUGUGUACUUCGCUUUCCAGGCUUCACAGAUGCUAAAGAGCAAAUGAACAGAUCUUAAAUUUUAAACUGAAUCACCUCACACACUUGGCUUCAGAUUGUGCUCCCAAUCAUUUAUGUUUGUCUUCCAGGUUGGGAACUCUCCAAGUGUUUCUUACAUUCAACACUGCAAAUAAAGGAAAGAGUAAAAGAGCAAACAAUAAGUAAUAAUAAAAAGAUAAAUAAUAAUAAAAGGGUUCUUUUUUUCAGUGUUUAAAAGGCAGUUCAUUUAGACAAUAUAUAGUUGCAGUCAUGAAUGACUGGAACUCAUUUUAUAGUAUAUUUUUCCCAAUCAGAAAUGAAAUUGGCAGUGCAAUCCCUCCACCCCCAAAAUUACUUGGUUUAGUAGCCAGCUGAGUAAGCAAAAAAGCACAAGAGGAUUAAACCAAAGAUGCAGCUCAAACAGUAGUUGAAUCCUCAAGCAUUUCAAUACACAGCUGAUUCAGCAAAACAGAUACACAUUCAAAUGAAGGAUAUGAUGAAACUGAAAAACAGGCAGCUUAAUCAAUAAAGUGUUCAGAUUCUCCUGCUAAAGCAAAAGCAGCAGCUUAAAAAUUAAACAGAAAAAUGAGCUGGAAAGAGUGUCAUAUGAGGAAAAACAUGAAAUAAAAAUGCAAGACCGAACAGUGUCUCCUAUUAUGCCAGAGAUGCUCAAAUGCAAAAGUGGCCAAAGAAAAAUUUUCUCAUAUUAACAAAGCCAAAGCUUUUUUUUUUCUCCACAAGGAAAAGUCCCAGUGCUUCUGCUGUGAUUUUGGAGCUCCCAUUGGAGCCACAUCCAGGAAAUGUAACUCAGGGAUGAAGGCCUCUGUCCCAUCCAUCUUUUGAUUAAUAGUUGAUUAACAGUUGCACUUUGUAAAUAGAGGAGCUCAGAAAACAAAAGCAUUUUUCUUUUCAUUUUAUCACAGAGCUUAUAGGAAGUGGCAUAUCAUAUAACUCAAGAUUGCAAGUUGGUUAUUUCCUCCUAAAUAUGGAUUGGUUUGUUGGAGUUCACAGAUUUAUUAUUCUCUGUGAACUAUUCGGAAUUGGAUUUGCUUCACAAAAAAUUUUCACUUUACUGAAUGCUUCAAAAAAUGAUGAGCAAAUACAAAAUUUUUUCAGGAGAUUCACACACA